GGUCAACAGUGAUCACUGACUGUUUUUAGGAGCUUUUUGAGAUUAAAUAGAAGAAAAUACAAAGCAUUAAACAUGUUAACAACACAAAACCCAGACUACUUUAGGCCCGGAAGUAGGAUUCGUCGCGUCAGCUGUGUUAUCUGCUUCGUUUUUGUGGGUCUGACCCUCAAAUCCUUACUGAGUCAUAUUAAUUCUGCACAUAGCCAUAGUCCAGAUUUCCGUGUAGUUUGUGGCAUAGAUGGAUGUGUCAAAGAAUAUCGUGUUUACAAUUAUCACAUUCGUCGAACACACUCUGACCACCUUGGCAAUGGACUAUGCAGUGGAUCGACUAUGACACAAAAAUCUGUAAGUUCUAGGAGGGAACCCUCAUCAUUGGUGAGAGGUCUGAGUAACAUGUGGGCCUACAGGACUGAUCCAGUGGUCGAAAACCAGCCAACAAGCCAGCCAACAAUGGAUGCGGCUGUAGACACCAGAUUGAACUCAGGAGAAGAUGCAGUGAUUGAGCAAAACGCAAUACAGCAUGAUCCAGACAGUGUGUGCCCGUGUUGUGUCAAACUUGACAGCAGUUUUAUUACACUUUAGUGUCAAUAAAUACAUUUCUUAAACUGA
Long non-coding RNA from Oreochromis niloticus (Nile tilapia), 609 nucleotides. RefSeq lists it as uncharacterized. Lineage: Eukaryota; Metazoa; Chordata; Actinopteri; Cichliformes; Cichlidae. The record is from RefSeq and is a predicted model, not a curated record. The transcript has 2 exons.